AUCACAGGUUAAACUAGGCUGUUCUGUACCACAUCACAGGUUAAACUAGGCUGUUCUGUACCACAUCACAGGUUAAACUAGGCUGUUCUGUACCACAUCACAGGUUAAACUAGGCUGUUCUGCUGUGUACCACAUCACAGGUUAAACUAGGCUGUUCUGUACCACAUCACAGGUUAAACUAGGCUGUUCUGUACCACAUCACAGGUUAAACUAGGCUGUUCUGCUGUGUACCACAUCACAGGUUAAACUAGGCUGUUCUGUACCACAUCACAGGUUAAACUAGGCUGUUCUGUACCACAUCACAGGUUAAACUAGGCUGUUCUGUACCACAUCACAGGUUCAACUAGGCUGUUCUGUACCACAUCACAGGUUAAACUAGGCUGUUCUGUACCACAUCACAGGUUAAACUAGGCUGUUCUGUACCACAUCACAGGUUAAACUAGGCUGUUCUGCUGUGUACCACAUCACAGGUUAAACUAGGCUGUUCUGUACCACAUCACAGGUUCAACUAGGCUGUUCUGUACCACAUCACAGGUUCAACUAGGCUGUUCUGUACCACAUCACAGGUUCAACUAGGCUGUUCUGUACCACAUCACAGGUUAAACUAGGCUGUUCUGUACCACAUCACAGGUUAAACUAGGCUGUUCUGCUGUGUACCACAUCACAGGUUAAACUAGGCUGUUCUGUACCACAUCACAGGUUAAACUAGGCUGUUCUGUACCACAUCACAGGUUAAACUAGGCUGUUCUGCUGUGUACCACAUCACAGGUUAAACUAGGCUGUUCUGUACCACAUCACAGGUUAAACUAGGCUGUUCUGUACCACAUCACAGGUUAAACUAGGCUGUUCUGUACCACAUCACAGGUUAAACUAGGCUGUUCUGCUGUGUACCACAUCACAGGUUAAACUAGGCUGUUCUGUACCACAUCACAGGUUAAACUAGGCUGUUCUGUACCACAUCACAGGUUAAACUAGGCUGUUCUGUACCACAUCACAGGUUAAACUAGGCUGUUCUGUACCACAUCACAGGUUAAACUAGGCUGUUCUGUACCACAUCACAGGUUAAACUAGGCUGUUCUGUACCACAUCACAGGUUAAACUAGGCUGUUCUGUACCACAUCACAGGUUAAACUAGGCUGUUCUGUACCACAUCACAGGUUAAACUAGGCUGUUCUGUACCACAUCACAG
Molecule: long non-coding RNA, 1189 nt
Organism: Oncorhynchus keta (chum salmon)
Lineage: Eukaryota; Metazoa; Chordata; Actinopteri; Salmoniformes; Salmonidae
Exons: 3
Source: RefSeq, a predicted model, not a curated record